RNAcentral lists this ribosomal RNA (396 nucleotides) under Triticum aestivum (bread wheat). RNAcentral's name for it is "partial small subunit ribosomal RNA". The record is from RNAcentral. Lineage: Eukaryota; Viridiplantae; Streptophyta; Magnoliopsida; Poales; Poaceae.
AUGUACACUGCGGGCAUGGAGUUCCUACUGGAUGCAGUUGACAGGUUCCCAAUAAGAGAGGAAUUCGCCAACAACCUUGGGCAGCCGGAUCCCGUUCCACUGCAUUUCCUGCUGGAGAAUGGUGGGAGGAGGGGAAAUGUGGAUGGUGCAGAUUCAGACGGUGGAUCUGCUUUGGCUGAGAAUGUUGGGGGAGAUGGAGAUGGUGCUGCGGUAGUAGGGUCUCGCCGUAAACAUGCUGCUUCUCCGACGAGGUCAGCACAGUCAAGUGACAGGGUGAAUCCGGAGGCGCCUGGCUGGACAAAACGGCUUCGCCUUGGCAGUGCGACACCGGACAGGGUCCCAUGCCCAUCCCGGAUGAGUGCACUCGAGCUUUUGAUGCGCAAGUAUCCAGAGUAG